AAGGUGGGGCUGAUGACUGGGGUGAAGUCGUAACAAGGUAGCCGUACCGGAAGGUGCGGCUGGAUCACCUCCUACAGGGAGACAACAACUGAUCGUGAUGUCUGAUACUUUAUUUUCAGGCCAUGAUCCUGUCACCUUAGGUCGAUCGGUACCUCAAAUUGAGACAAAAACUCUUUUAUUUACUUGAAAGGUUGAAAAGUUCUCAAUUUCAGUUCCUAAACUUGUCUAGGUCACACCCAAACGAGGGUAAUCCUGGGCCAUUAGCUCAGGUGGUUAGAGCGCACCCCUGAUAAGGGUGAGGUCCCUGGUUCAAGUCCAGGAUGGCCCAUUCGGUGUUGGGGGUAUAGCUCAGUUGGUAGAGCGCCUGCUUUGCAAGCAGGAUGUCAGCGGUUCGAGUCCGCUUACCUCCACUGAUCACCACCUAAUAUACGAAUACCCAUGGAUUUUCUUUGUUAGAUGUGAUUUAGGCAUAUUUUAUUAGAACGAACCUAGCUUCCUAUCAUUCCCUCUUCUUGAAAUAAUGAACAGGAAAUGGUUGAUAGGACGCUGGGCUCACUGUAAUUAUUUAAUUGCAGAUGCGUUCAGUAGAACCUUGACAACUGCAUAGAUAAGUCUGGAAAAAAUAAAGCAUCUCAUGGAUGCAUUUUUUUCUUGAAUUAAAUCAUUCAUUAUCCUUACUAGUAAGGAUAAUGAUUGCUAAAUUUUAUUCUAGAAAUCAGUGUUUAAUUCUUGAGUAAGAGCCAAGACUCUAUAAGCUUUUAUUAAUGCUUGAGAGAUAAUGGUCAAGCUACAA
RNAcentral lists this unclassified non-coding RNA (793 nucleotides) under uncultured Prochlorococcus sp. RNAcentral's name for it is "partial 16S-23S ribosomal RNA intergenic spacer; may also contain 16S ribosomal RNA and 23S ribosomal RNA". The stretch from base 338 to 410 matches the Rfam family "tRNA". The record is from RNAcentral. Lineage: Bacteria; Bacillati; Cyanobacteriota; Cyanophyceae; Synechococcales; Prochlorococcaceae.